Small nuclear RNA from Gracilinanus agilis (Agile Gracile Mouse Opossum), 107 nucleotides. Lineage: Eukaryota; Metazoa; Chordata; Mammalia; Didelphimorphia; Didelphidae. The record is from RefSeq and is a predicted model, not a curated record.
AUACUCACUUCAGCAGCACAGAUACUAAAAUUGGAACAAUACAGAGAAGAUUAACAUGACCCCUAUGCAAAGAUGACAAUAAACUGCUUGAUUUCUACACGAGCUGG